RNAcentral lists this ribosomal RNA (753 nucleotides) under Limnoria sp. New Zealand. RNAcentral's name for it is "partial 28S ribosomal RNA". The record is from RNAcentral. Lineage: Eukaryota; Metazoa; Arthropoda; Malacostraca; Isopoda; Limnoriidae.
AAGACUGUGAAACCAUCACGAGGUUAAAGCGAAUUAGACAAGUGGCUUUGUCAAGCGGAGUGCAGUGUCGAAUUUUUUCGGUCACGGUGCCUGUCUCACCCGAGCUGUGUUUUGUAGUCGCCUUGGUAUGACGUUAUUAAGUCUCUAGAGAGAACCUUUUCGGAAAUUAUAGCGCGAUACGGCGGGGUUCAGGCUCGUCCGAAGUCAACGUCUCACGCGUUCAGCAGCGGUAUUACCAGCGGGCUCGCUCGUUUGGUCUUGUUGUUGCUGUACCGUGGGAGGUUCGGGCAGCCUCCUGCUAAAGCGUUUCCGGAGUUUGGGGUCUGUGCCUCGGUUUUGACUAUCACUGCUGUUGGGUUUUGAGCUCGCACCAGCGCUUCCUAUUGGACGAGCGCAGCGGCCGUUUCUGCGGUGUCGUCGACACUUGCGAGUGCGGUCGGGAACUGGUACGUCUUGCUUCACGUUCACGUGAGGCAUUUAUAAGGCGCUAUCAGGGACGACUGUACGAUUAGUGUCGCGGCGGACGCUUGAAAACGGUAUCUUAGAGGCUGUUUAUCGGAGACGCGUGUUUUAGUGCGCGAAAAAGCUCCGACGAACGUAAUAAUAGUGCCUUCGCUGCGUUUGGCAUUGAAAUGCCGGCUACACGUUUAUCCGCCCGGCCUGAAAAAAGGAACAAAGAGGCCAACAAGGGGGGGGGUCAAAGGGAAAUUAAACACCCCACGGCGCAAGGAAAGUGAUACGCUUUACGCGGGC